UGAUAAAGUCCUCAUGACCAUGUCCCC
RNAcentral lists this non-coding RNA (27 nucleotides) under Mus musculus (house mouse). The record is from RNAcentral. Lineage: Eukaryota; Metazoa; Chordata; Mammalia; Rodentia; Muridae.